This 460-nucleotide ribosomal RNA is filed under the name uncultured bacterium. RNAcentral describes it as "partial 16S ribosomal RNA". It matches the Rfam family "Bacterial small subunit ribosomal RNA", at positions 338 to 795 of the family's 1533-position model. The record is from RNAcentral.
CCUACGGGAGGCAGCAGUGAGGAAUAUUGGUCAAUGGGCGCGAGCCUGAACCAGCCAAGUAGCGUGAGGGAUGACUGCCCUACGGGUUGUAAACUUCUUUUAUAAAGGAAUAAAGUGCGGCACGUGUGCCUUUUUGUAUGGACUUUGUGAAUAAGGAUCGGCUAACUCCGUGCCAGCAGCCGCGGUAAUACGGAGGAUACGAGCGUUAUCCGGAUUUAUUGGGUUUAAAGGGAGCGUAGAUGGGUUGUUAAGUCAGUUGUGAAAGUUUGCGGCUCAACCGUAAAAUUGCAAUUGAUACUGGCAGCCUUGAGUACAGGUGAGGUAGGCGGAAUGCGUGGUGUAGCGGUGAAAUGCUUAGAUAUCACGAAGAACCCCGAUUGCGAAGGCAGCCUACUAAACUGCGACUGACAUUGAUGCUCGAAAGCGUGGGUAUCAAACAGGAUUAGAUACCCCUGUAGUC